GCCCGAGCAGGGGUACGCCGGCCGGUGGAUGCCUCGGCUUGGGCGCUGAAUAAGGACGUGGCAAGCUGCGAUAAGCUCCGGGUACCCGCAGGCAGGGGUAGAUCCGGAGAUCUCCUAAUGGGACAUCCUGCGGUGGGCUUCGGCUCGCCGCGUUCCCGGGCGCAAGCCUGGGAUCGGGAACCCCCCGAACGGAAGCAUCCAAGUAGGGGGAGGAGAAGAAAUCAAACGAGAUCCCCCGAGUAGGGGCGACCGAAAGGGGAGGAGCCCAAACCGAACCCCCCGGGGAAACUCGGGGGGAAUGUGGGGUUAAGGGCCGGAGGCCCGCCCUGAAGGUCGAGCCGAACUCCCCUGGAAUGGGGGGCCAGAGAGGGUGAUAGCCCCGUAGGCGUAGGUCGGAUGGGCGAUGCUCCGGACCCAGAGUACCGCACCUCGGAUAUGGUGUGGGAAGUUGGGGGCCACUGGCCUCCAAGGCUAAAUACGUCCCAAGACCGAUAGCGGAACAGUAGCGUGAGCGAAAGGUGAAAAGUACCCCGGGAGGGGGGUGAAAAGCGCCUGAAACCGGCCGGUAACAGACGUGGGCGGCCCGAAAGGGAAAUCCCCGUCAAGGCUCCGAUGAGGGGUCGCGCGGGGACAAUCCCAGGGUCGCCCGCUCCGUCUUGAAACACGGGCCGGGGAGUUCACGGGUGUGGCGAGUCUAAGGGCUGAAAGCCCGAAAGCGUAGGGAAACCGACCAGCUCGCAGCGGCGACGGCCGUGAGGAGCGGGGUCCGAAAGGGCCUGUAGCCACGCCCGUGAGGCUAGAAACCGGGCGAUCUAGCCCUGGGCAGGGUGAAGCCGGGGGAAACCCCGGUCGAGGCCCGAAUAGGGGUCCUGACGUGCAAUUCGGUCCCCUGACCUGGG
This 899-nucleotide ribosomal RNA is filed under the name Nitrososphaerota archaeon. RNAcentral describes it as "partial 23S ribosomal RNA". It matches the Rfam family "Archaeal large subunit ribosomal RNA", at positions 1 to 891 of the family's 2987-position model. Lineage: Archaea; Thermoproteati; Nitrososphaerota. The record is from RNAcentral. RNAcentral also lists the same sequence under 1 other name.